RNAcentral lists this ribosomal RNA (253 nucleotides) under uncultured bacterium. RNAcentral describes it as "partial 16S ribosomal RNA". It matches the Rfam family "Bacterial small subunit ribosomal RNA", at positions 524 to 776 of the family's 1533-position model. The record is from RNAcentral.
UACGGGGGGGGCAAGCGUUGUUCGGAAUUACUGGGCGUAAAGGGCUCGUAGGUGGCCCCAUAAGUCAGACGUGAAAUCCCUCGGCUCAACCGAGGAACUGCGUCUGAGACUGCGGGGCUUGAAUCCGGGAGAGGGAUGCGGAAUUCCAGGUGUAGCGGUGAAAUGCGUAGAUAUCUGGAGGAACACCGGUGGCGAAGGCGGCAUCCUGGACCGGUAUUGACACUGAGGAGCGAAAGCCAGGGGAGCAAACGGG